This is a non-coding RNA of Lolium perenne, 869 nucleotides long. NCBI's taxonomy places the organism in Eukaryota, Viridiplantae, Streptophyta, Magnoliopsida, Poales, Poaceae. The record is from RefSeq and is a predicted model, not a curated record.
CUUUUUUCCUGCGCACCAUGGAGCGGCCUAGGCGGAGGAGGCCAGGGAAGGAGCCUCCCAACGCGAGCUCGAGUGGCAACGCGGGUGUCUGCUCCGCCGCCGGGAGGGGAUCAUGGCGCGGAGGCGGUAGACGUGCGGCACGCCGGCAGCGAGCCGGCAGCACGACGACGACGGGCUGGGCCGGCAGCGGGCAUAGAGCGAAGUGGUCGAGGUAGGAGGGUGAGGUGGGGUAGCUGGCGGCCACCUCGCCGCCCGGAGCUCGUCGCGUUUCUCCCGUGCAGUCUUUGUUGACCUCCUCCCCUGCAGCCACGGAGCUGGCGUCUUCGACAUGGCAUCAAUGUCCAUAAGGACGCCGGAGGAGACGCGCUCGAGGAGGCCGAGCUCGUGUGCUCCCUUCUGUGCCGUCCCAACGCGUCUCUGCGGGAGUUGCUGCUAGCGGUUCAGGGUGCUGGGCGCGACGGUUGGUGCUGCUACUUUGGGCGCACGGGGGUUGCUACCGGUGGAGGCCGGCGUUGCUACCUUAGGCGUCCGUCGUUGCUACUGGCGAAGGGCGGAUAUUCUACCUUAGGCCUUCGGUGUUGCUACCAGCGGAGGGCGGCUUUUGCUACCGGUGGAUGCCAGCUUUGCUACAUUAGGCAUCAGAUAUUGCUACUGACGGUUCCAGGCGUUGCUACAAUUGCACAUAUAUGUUUGUUCCAGUGUCUCCGAUGAGUUCUCGAGCAUGUUUGUUUUUUGCUACAUUAGCAUAACUUUUUUGUUACAGAUCUCCGGCGAGGUCUCCGGCGAGCUCAGACUUUUUCUUUUAUUUCAUAGACGAACUGUUUUUUGCUACAUGCAGUUGCUGCCGAGAUAUGUAUUUUGCUGCCGAA